This 164-nucleotide ribosomal RNA is filed under the name uncultured bacterium. Its description in RNAcentral is "partial 16S ribosomal RNA". It matches the Rfam family "Bacterial small subunit ribosomal RNA", at positions 355 to 511 of the family's 1533-position model. The record is from RNAcentral.
UAGGGAAUCUUCGGCAAUGGACGAAAGUCUGACCGAGCAACGCCGCGUGAGUGAAGAAGGUUUUCGGAUCGUAAAACUCUGUUGUUAAAGAAGAACACGUAUGAGAGUAACUGUUCAUACGUUGACGGUAUUUAACCAGAAAGUCACGGCUAACUACGUGCCAA